RNAcentral lists this ribosomal RNA (534 nucleotides) under uncultured Glomus. RNAcentral describes it as "SSU rRNA". It matches the Rfam family "Eukaryotic small subunit ribosomal RNA", at positions 556 to 1092 of the family's 1831-position model. The record is from RNAcentral. Lineage: Eukaryota; Fungi; Glomeromycota; Glomeromycetes; Glomerales; Glomeraceae.
CCAGUCUGGUGCCAGCAGCCGCGGUAAUUCCAGCUCCAAUAGCGUAUAUUAAAGUUGUUGCAGUUAAAAAGCUCGUAGUUGAAUUUCGGGGUUAGUAGGUUGGUCGUGCCACUGGUACGUACUGGUCUCACUGACUCCUCCUUCCUGAUGAACUGUAAUGCCAUUAAUUUGGUGUUGCGGGAAACCGGACUGUUACUUUGAAAAAAUUAGAGUGUUUAAAGCAAGCUAACGCUUGAAUACAUUAGCAUGGAAUAAUGAAAUAGGACGUUCGAUCCUAUUUUGUUGGUUUCUAGGAUUGACGUAAUGAUUAAUAGGGAUAGUUGGGGGCAUUAGUAUUCAAUUGUCAGAGGUGAAAUUCUUGGAUUUAUUGAAGACUAACUACUGCGAAAGCAUUUGCCAAGGAUGUUUUCAUUAAUCAAGAACGAAAGUUAGGGGAUCGAAGACGAUCAGAUACCGUCGUAGUCUUAACCAUAAACUAUGCCGACUAGGGAUCGGAUGAUGUUAAUUUUUUAAUGACUCAUUCGGCGCCUUACG